Molecule: ribosomal RNA, 497 nt
Filed under: uncultured bacterium
Lineage: Bacteria
Description: partial 16S ribosomal RNA
Rfam family: Bacterial small subunit ribosomal RNA
Source: RNAcentral
GAUGAACGCUGGCGGCGUGCCUAAUACAUGCAAGUCGAGCGAACGGACGAGAAGCUUGCUUCUCUGAUGUUAGCGGCGGACGGGUGAGUAACACGUGGAUAACCUACCUAUAAGACUGGGAUAACUUCGGGAAACCGGAGCUAAUACCGGAUAAUAUUUUGAACCUCAUGGUUCAAAAGUGAAAGACGGUCUUGCUGUCACUUAUAGAUUGAUCCGCCCUGCAUUAGCUAGUUGGUAAGGUAACGGCUUACCAAGGCAACGAUGCAUAGCCGACCUGAGCGGGUGGUCGGCCACACUGGAACUGAGACACGGUCCAGACUCCGACGGGAGGCAGCAGUAGGGAAUCUUCCGCAAUGGGCGAAAGCCGGACGGAGCAACGCCGCGUGAGUGAUGAAGGUCUUCGGAUCGUAAAACUCUGUUAUUAGGGAAGAACAUAUGUGUAAGUAACUGUGCACAUCUUGACGGUACCUAAUCAGAAAGCCACGGCUAACUACGUG